AUUGAACGCUGGCGGCAUGCCUUACACAUGCAAGUCGAACGGUAGCACAUUAAGAUCUCGCGUUGAGAACGGGCGAGUGAUGUAUCGGUACGUGCCACAUCGGAGGCGAUAUCUUCUCGGGGGAGAAGCUAGUAAAACAUACGCCAAUAGCGUAAACGCCGGACGUGGCAAAGCCGCGCACGUUCGGACCGUGCGAUAUCAGAUUAGGUAGUUGGUGAGUUAAAGGCUCACCAAGGCGACGAUCUGUAGCUGGUCUGAGAGGACGAGCAGCCACACUGGGACUGAGACACGGUCCAGACUCCUACGGGAGGCAGCAGUGGGGAAUAUUGGACAAUGGGCGCAAGCCUGAUCCAGCCAUGCCGCGUGCGGGAAGAAGGCCUUCGGGUUGUAAACCGCUUUUGUUAGGGAAGAAAAGGUGCUGGCUAAUACCUGGGAGUCAUGACGGUACCUGAAGAAUAAGCACCGGCUAACUACGUG
Molecule: ribosomal RNA, 477 nt
Filed under: uncultured bacterium
Lineage: Bacteria
Description: partial 16S ribosomal RNA
Rfam family: Bacterial small subunit ribosomal RNA
Source: RNAcentral